This 253-nucleotide ribosomal RNA is filed under the name uncultured bacterium. Its description in RNAcentral is "partial 16S ribosomal RNA". It matches the Rfam family "Bacterial small subunit ribosomal RNA", at positions 524 to 776 of the family's 1533-position model. The record is from RNAcentral.
UACGUAGGGGGCAAGCGUUGUCCGGAAUCAUUGGGCGUAAAGAGCGUGUAGGCGGCCCGGUAAGUCCGCUGUGAAAGUCCAGGGCUCAACCCUGGAAUGCCGGUGGAAACUGUCAAGCUUGAGUCCGGAAGAGGCGAGUGGAAUUCCUGGUGUAGCGGUGAAAUGCGCAGAUAUCAGGAGGAACACCAAUGGCGAAGGCAGCUCGCUGGGACGGUACUGACGCUGAGACGCGAAAGCGUGGGGAGCAAACAGG